GACGAACGCUGGCGGCGUGCUUGACACAUGCAAGUCGAACGGAAAGGCCUGCUUUCCCUUGUGGUUUGCGGGUACUCGAGUGGCUAACGGGUGAGUAACACGUGAGUGAUCUGCCCCCAACUUGGGUAUAAGCCUGGGAAACUGGGUCUAAUUCCCGAUAGGACUGCAGGGUGGUGCCUGUGGUGGAAAACGAUUUUCUAGUGGUUGGGGAUGAGCUCGCGGCGUAUCAGCUUGGUGGUGGGGUAGUGGCCUACCAAGGCGGCGACGCGUAGCCGGCCUGAGAGGGUGAGCGGCCACAGGGGAACUGAGACACGGUCCAGACUCGUACGGGAGGCAGCAGUAGGGAAUCUUCCGCAAUGGGCGAAAGCUUGACGGAGCAACGCCGCGUGAGUGAGGAAGGUGUUCGGAUCGUAAAACGCUGUUAUUAGGGAAGAACAAAUGUGUAAGUAACUAUGCACGUCUUGACGGUACCUAAUCAGAAAGCCACGGCUAACUACGUG
This 500-nucleotide ribosomal RNA is filed under the name uncultured bacterium. Its description in RNAcentral is "partial 16S ribosomal RNA". It matches the Rfam family "Bacterial small subunit ribosomal RNA", at positions 28 to 507 of the family's 1533-position model. The record is from RNAcentral.